Molecule: ribosomal RNA, 403 nt
Filed under: uncultured Peptoniphilus sp.
Lineage: Bacteria; Bacillati; Bacillota; Tissierellia; Tissierellales; Peptoniphilaceae
Description: bacterial SSU rRNA
Rfam family: Bacterial small subunit ribosomal RNA
Source: RNAcentral
UGGGGAAUCUUGCACAAUGGGGGAAACCCUGAUGCAGCGACGCCGCGUGAGCGAUGAAGGUUUUCGAAUCGUAAAGCUCUGUCCUAUGGGAAGAUAAUGACGGUACCAUAGGAGGAAGCCCCGGCUAACUACGUGCCAGCAGCCGCGGUAAUACGUAGGGGGCGAGCGUUGUCCGGAAUUACUGGGCGUAAAGGGUUCGCAGGCGGCAUGGCAAGUCCGAUGUAAAAGGCGAAGGCUCAACCUUCGUAAGCAUCGGAAACUGUCAAGCUUGAGUGAAGGAGAGGCAAGUGGAAUUCCUAGUGUAGCGGUGGAAUGCGUAGAUAUUAGGAGGAAUACCGGUGGCGAAGGCGACUUGCUGGACUUCAACUGACGCUGAGGAACGAAAGCGUGGGUAGCAAACAGG